This 460-nucleotide ribosomal RNA is filed under the name uncultured bacterium. Its description in RNAcentral is "partial 16S ribosomal RNA". It matches the Rfam family "Bacterial small subunit ribosomal RNA", at positions 338 to 795 of the family's 1533-position model. The record is from RNAcentral.
CCUACGGGUGGCAGCAGUGAGGAAUAUUGGUCAAUGGGCGGAAGCCUGAACCAGCCAAGUAGCGUGCAGGAUGACGGCCCUACGGGUUGUAAACUGCUUUUAUACGGGAAUAACGCGCCUUACGUGUAGGGCUUUGCAUGUACCGUAUGAAUAAGGACCGGCUAAUUCCGUGCCAGCAGCCGCGGUAAUACGGGGGGUGCAAGCGUGGUCCGGAUUUAUUGGGCGUAAAGGGUUCGUAGGCGGCACGUAAAGUCUGUUGGUAAAGGCAGAGGCUCAACUUCUGUACGGCACUGGAUACUGGCGGGCUUGAUUGCGGUAGAGGUAAAGGGAAUUCCUGGUGUAGCGGUGAAAUGCUUAGAUAUCAGGAGGAACAUCGGUGGCGUAAGCGCUUUACUGGGCCGUAAUUGACGCUGAGGAACGAAAGCCAGGGUAGCAAACAGGAUUAGAUACCCUAGUAGUC